UGGGGAAUAUUGCGCAAUGGGGGAAACCCUGACGCAGCGACGCCGCGUGUGGGAAGAAGGCCUUCGGGUCGUAAACCACUGUCAAGAGGGAAGAACCGCAUGAGGGCAAAUAGGCCUCGUGCCUGACGGUACCUCUGGAGGAAGCACCGGCUAACUCCGUGCCAGCAGCCGCGGUAAUACGGAGGGUGCAAGCGUUAAUCGGAAUCACUGGGCGUAAAGCUCACGUAGGCUGUAGUGUAAGUCAGACGUGAAAUCCCUUGGCUUAACUGAGGAACUGCGUUUGAAACUGCACAACUCGAGUGCUGGAGAGGGUGGCGGAAUUCCCGGUGUAGGAGUGAAAUCCGUAGAUAUCGGGAGGAACACCAGUGGCGAAGGCGGCCACCUGGACAGACACUGACGCUGAGGUGCGAAAGCGUGGGUAGCAAACA
Molecule: ribosomal RNA, 428 nt
Filed under: uncultured prokaryote
Description: bacterial SSU rRNA
Rfam family: Bacterial small subunit ribosomal RNA
Source: RNAcentral